CUGAGCAUCAGCUGCCGGCUGCAGAAGAGAGAGCAGGUGGACAAACCAGACGGGGUCAUGAAACAUGAGAAUAUUGAAGGAUAAAACUGACCUGUUGGACACCACAUUCUGAGUGUUUGUGCAACUGGAGGCUUCAAGUUUCUACAUCACACUCAUCAGAUGGAUGAAAACAAACUCUGCUCAUACAUCAUUCUGCACAGAGAAGAAGAACAAACAUCCAGCUGAAGGAACAAGAAGAGAAAUGACUUUAAUGAGGGAAUGAGAAGAAGUAGAUGCCAUUUUAAGGAUUUUAAAGUAAUUAUAUUUUGUUAUUUUGUGUUUUUAUAUGUCUUAAUAGAUGUCUGGAGGAUCUUUAAGAUAUUUUAUUAACUUGUAUGUGUCAAAGUGAAACAGUAAAUUCUCACAUUUAAGAAGCUGAACUAGAGAAUUUUUUGUAUUUUUGCCUGAAA
Long non-coding RNA from Thunnus maccoyii (southern bluefin tuna), 449 nucleotides. RefSeq lists it as uncharacterized. The record is from RefSeq and is a predicted model, not a curated record. The transcript has 3 exons. Lineage: Eukaryota; Metazoa; Chordata; Actinopteri; Scombriformes; Scombridae.